RNAcentral lists this ribosomal RNA (421 nucleotides) under Shigella sonnei. RNAcentral's name for it is "bacterial SSU rRNA". It matches the Rfam family "Bacterial small subunit ribosomal RNA", at positions 1 to 418 of the family's 1533-position model. The record is from RNAcentral. Lineage: Bacteria; Pseudomonadati; Pseudomonadota; Gammaproteobacteria; Enterobacterales; Enterobacteriaceae.
AAAUUGAAGAGUUUGAUCAUGGCUCAGAUUGAACGCUGGCGGCAGGCCUAACACAUGCAAGUCGAACGGUAACAGGAAACAGCUUGCUGUUUCGCUGACGAGUGGCGGACGGGUGAGUAAUGUCUGGGAAACUGCCUGAUGGAGGGGGAUAACUACUGGAAACGGUAGCUAAUACCGCAUAAUGUCGCAAGACUAAAGAGGGGGACCUUCGGGCCUCUUGCCAUCGGAUGUGCCCAGAUGGGAUUAGCUAGUAGGUGGGGUAACGGCUCACCUAGGCGACGAUCCCUAGCUGGUCUGAGAGGAUGACCAGCCACACUGGAACUGAGACACGGUCCAGACUCCUACGGGAGGCAGCAGUGGGGAAUAUUGCACAAUGGGCGCAAGCCUGAUGCAGCCAUGCCGCGUGUAUGAAGAAGGCCUU